CAUCAACACCUGCUGCCCUUAGCUCCUUGAGCUGUUUCUCAAGCCCGUCUUUGUUUUCCAGAACAUUGUCAACUGUAACAACUUCCAGCUUCAAAUAAACGCAAAAUAAUCAGGGAGCAUUACGUAAACUGGCACAUAGUUAGCUAGCAUCUUCUCGUUCUCGGAGAGGGGAGUUGGAGCCUGCAUAUUUUGAGCAAAAGAAAGAAAAGGGGGUGUUUUCAAGCUUGCCUUUCAGAAUGGAGAUAGAGGUGCUACUCCUUAGUCCUUACUAUUUCAGUCUUGCCUCCCAUUUAUAAAAGGGGUAGAAACAUUAUCUACUGUGUCCUUAUCUUUACACGUGAAAUAGUGCAUAUUAAUGUGAGCCAAGUGGGGCCUUUUGUUAACAAAAAACCUAGUGCCUGGCUCCUUUAUGCAUGCAUUCUGCCCUUUGGACCACUGCAGAUGAUCAAGAUGCAUUGAUUCACCUGCAGAAGCGGGAAAUAGGUACUGAUAGAUAAGGUUCACAAUGGCCAAUUCGGUCUCCCUGGGCUAAGUGCCCUUAGCUGCCAGCAUAUUUUCUGGGCAACCAGAGAGUGACCAAAUUAAAUUUCUCCAUACAUGCAAGGCCAGUGUACUUAAAUCCCCAUCUCGCCAAGUUGUUCUGUCCACAGCCUAUAUGAUAUUGAUAGUAAAAGGAUCUCCAAGUACCUCUGCUGCUGUGGUGGAAAUCUCAGGUGCCACAGCUUGAAUACUCAUGUCUACACUGCCUGAACUGAAAGACAGACCAUGCCCGAGCCCAACCCGUCUAACCUGCUUUGCUCUUCUUGCAUUUUCAACUUGAUUAACCGACGGCAUUGCCCAGAGAAACUCAGCUUGGUGAACCCUACUGCUACCUCCAAAACAAGGUAUCUUCGAAUUCAUGAUGCUUGCCAUGGUCACCAUGGCAAACAAGAAAAACUGCUAUAUCACAAUAUGUCUGAAUGAAGAUGAUGGCAGAAUUUAUGGUCAGGCAAAAGAGACGAAGGGGAGAAGAAAAAGCAUCCAGAAUAGCCGAACACCUGCUGCAACAACUUUUUUCUUGGAAGAAAAAUCUUAUUUGUUGUUUCUUGUUAUGGUUGGUUGAUUUAUGAAUUUGCUAUGAGUUUCAAUGGAGACCUCUAGUUUGUAUGGAAAAGAAGACAAUGAAGGUGUGCUGAAUGAACAAACAAGUGGUUCAUGUUUC
Molecule: long non-coding RNA, 1201 nt
Organism: Vitis vinifera (wine grape)
Lineage: Eukaryota; Viridiplantae; Streptophyta; Magnoliopsida; Vitales; Vitaceae
Exons: 2
Source: RefSeq, a predicted model, not a curated record